RNAcentral lists this ribosomal RNA (688 nucleotides) under uncultured bacterium. Its description in RNAcentral is "bacterial SSU rRNA". It matches the Rfam family "Bacterial small subunit ribosomal RNA", at positions 9 to 694 of the family's 1533-position model. The record is from RNAcentral.
GAGUUUGAUCCUGGCUCAGCCACGAACGCUGGCGGCGUGCUUAACACAUGCAAGUCGAACGAGAAUCACCGGAAAGAGGAUUCGUCCAAUGGAAGGUGAGGAAAGUGGCGGACGGGUGAGUAACGCGUGAGGAACCUGCCUUGGAGAGGGGGACAACAGCUGGAAACGGCUGCUAAUACCGCAUAACAUAUCUGAAUCGCAUGGUUUGGAUAUCAAAGAUUUAUCGCUCUGAGAUGGCCUCGCGUCUGAUUAGCUUGUUGGCGGGGUAACGGCCCACCAAGGCGACGAUCAGUAGCCGGACUGAGAGGUUGAACGGCCACAUUGGGACUGAGAUACGGCCCAGACUCCUACGGGAGGCAGCAGUGGGGAAUAUUGGGCAAUGGGCGCAAGCCUGACCCAGCAACGCCGCGUGAAGGAAGAAGGCUUUCGGGUUGUAAACUUCUUUUAAGGGGGAAGAGGAGAAGACGGUACCCCUAGAAUAAGCCACGGCUAACUACGUGCCAGCAGCCGCGGUAAUACGUAGGUGGCAAGCGUUGUCCGGAUUUACUGGGUGUAAAGGGCGUGUAGCCGGGUCUGCAAGUCAGAUGUGAAAUCCAUGGGCUUAACCCAUGAACUGCAUUUGAAACUGUGGAUCUUGAGUGCUGGAGGGGCAAUCGGAAUUCCUAGUGUAGCGGUGAAAAUGCGUAGA